RNAcentral lists this ribosomal RNA (497 nucleotides) under uncultured bacterium. RNAcentral's name for it is "partial 16S ribosomal RNA". It matches the Rfam family "Bacterial small subunit ribosomal RNA", at positions 28 to 507 of the family's 1533-position model. The record is from RNAcentral.
GACGAACGCUGGCGGCGUGCCUAAUACAUGCAAGUUGAGCGCUGAAGGUUGGUACUUGUACCAACUGGAUGAGCAGCGAACGGGUGAGUAACGCGUGGGGAAUCUGCCUUUGAGCGGGGGACAACAUUUGGAAACGAAUGCUAAUACCGCAUAAAAACUUUAAACACAAGUUUUAAGUUUGAAAGAUGCAAUUGCAUCACUCAAAGAUGAUUCCGCGUUGUAUUAGCUAGUUGGUGAGGUAAAGGCUCACCAAGGCGAUGAUACAUAGCCGACCUGAGAGGGUGAUCGGCCACAUUGGGACUGAGACACGGCCCAAACUCCUACGGGAGGCAGCAGUAGGGAAUCUUCGGCAAUGGACGAAAGUCUGACCGAGCAACGCCGCGUGAGUGAAGAAGGGUUUCGGAUCGUAAAACUCUGUUGGUAGAGAAGAACGUUUGUGAGAGUGGAAAGCUCAUCAAGUGACGGUAACUACCCAGAAAGGGACGGCUAACUACGUG